UACGUAGGGUGCGAGCGUUAAUCGGAAUUACUGGACGUAAAGCGUGCGCAGGCGGCGCGUUAAGACAGGUGUGAAAGCCCCGAGCUUAACUUGGGAAUUGCGCUUGUGACUGGCGUGCUGGAGUGUGGCAGAGGGAGGUGGAAUUCCACGUGUAGCAGUGAAAUGCGUAGAGAUGUGGAGGAACACCGAUGGCGAAGGCAGCCUCCUGGGCCAGCACUGACGCUCAUGCACGAAAGCAUGGGGAGCAAACAGG
Molecule: ribosomal RNA, 253 nt
Filed under: uncultured bacterium
Lineage: Bacteria
Description: partial 16S ribosomal RNA
Rfam family: Bacterial small subunit ribosomal RNA
Source: RNAcentral